Molecule: transfer RNA, 74 nt
Filed under: Thermoplasmata archaeon
Lineage: Archaea; Methanobacteriati; Thermoplasmatota; Thermoplasmata
Also listed under: 2 other names
Description: tRNA-Val
Rfam family: tRNA
About the family: Transfer RNA (tRNA) molecules are approximately 80 nucleotides in length. Their secondary structure includes four short double-helical elements and three loops (D, anti-codon, and T loops). Further hydrogen bonds mediate the characteristic L-shaped molecular structure. tRNAs have two regions of fundamental functional importance: the anti-codon, which is responsible for specific mRNA codon recognition, and the 3' end, to which the tRNAs corresponding amino acid is attached (by aminoacyl-tRNA synthetases). tRNAs cope with the degeneracy of the genetic code in two manners: having more than one tRNA (with a specific anti-codon) for a particular amino acid; and 'wobble' base-pairing, i.e. permitting non-standard base-pairing at the 3rd anti-codon position.
Source: RNAcentral
GGGCCCUUGGUCUAGCUGGUUAUGACGUCGCCUUGACAUGGCGGAGGUCCUGGGUUCAAAUCCCAGAGGGCCCA